UUUCCGUAGGUGAACCUGCGGAAGGAUCAUUACUGAGUGAGGGCCCUCUGGGUCCAACCUCCCACCCGUGUUUAUUAUACCUUGUUGCUUCGGUGAGCCCGCCUCACGGCCGCCGGGGGGCGUCUGCCCCCGGGCCCGCGCCCACCGAAGACACCUAGAACUCUGUAUGAAGAUUGCAGUCUGAGCAAAAACUAAAUAAGUUAAAACUUUCAACAACGGAUCUCUUGGUUCCG
RNAcentral lists this unclassified non-coding RNA (233 nucleotides) under plant metagenome. RNAcentral describes it as "partial contains small subunit ribosomal RNA, internal transcribed spacer 1, and 5.8S ribosomal RNA". The record is from RNAcentral.